AAUACCUGAUCGCUGAGUUCUUUCUUUAUUUCAGAAAGAAACGGGGGAACCAAUGAAACGCGUCCAAAAGGGCGGGUUUCCGGGGUGAAUCGCUUGAUUUGGCCAACUUGGCCAAACUGCGUAGGGCUGCUUUCGUGCCCGAAUCCGUCAGCUAACUCCGUAAGCGUCCGAAAGAGGGAAU
This 181-nucleotide small RNA is filed under the name Paenibacillus sp. Its description in RNAcentral is "c-di-AMP sequence". It matches the Rfam family "c-di-AMP riboswitch aptamer (ydaO/yuaA leader)". Rfam says of the family: This family represents a conserved RNA structure found upstream of the ydaO and yuaA genes in Bacillus subtilis and related genes in other bacteria. The ydaO/yuaA element is thought to act as a genetic "off" switch for the ydaO and yuaA genes in its native state. The record is from RNAcentral. RNAcentral also lists the same sequence under 1 other name. Lineage: Bacteria; Bacillati; Bacillota; Bacilli; Caryophanales; Paenibacillaceae.